GGGACACGUGGUAUCCUGUCUGAAUAUGGGGGGACCAUCCUCCAAGGCUAAAUACUCCUGACUGACCGAUAGUGAACCAGUACCGUGAGGGAAAGGCGAAAAGAACCCCGGCGAGGGGAGUGAAAAAGAACCUGAAACCGUGUACGUACAAGCAGUGGGAGCACAGAGCAAUCUGUGUGACUGCGUACCUUUUGUAUAAUGGGUCAGCGACUUAUAUUCUGUAGCAAGGUUAACCGAAUAGGGGAGCCGAAGGGAAACCGAGUCUUAACUGGGCGUUAAGUUGCAGGGUAUAGACCCGAAACCCGGUGAUCUAGCCAUGGGCAGGUUGAAGGUUGGGUAACACUAACUGGAGGACCGAACCGACUAAUGUUGAAAAAUUAGCGGAUGACUUGUGGCUGGGGGUGAAAGGCCAAUCAAACCGGGAGAUAGCUGGUUCUCCCCGAAAGCUAUUUAGGUAGCGCCUCGUGAAUUCAUCUCCGGGGGUAGAGCACUGUUUCGGCAAGGGGGUCAUCCCGA
This 516-nucleotide ribosomal RNA is filed under the name Escherichia coli. RNAcentral describes it as "partial 23S ribosomal RNA". It matches the Rfam family "Bacterial large subunit ribosomal RNA", at positions 419 to 934 of the family's 2925-position model. The record is from RNAcentral. Lineage: Bacteria; Pseudomonadati; Pseudomonadota; Gammaproteobacteria; Enterobacterales; Enterobacteriaceae.